AUUCCUGGAUUCAGAGUGGUGACCUUCUGGAUCCCUGUGAUGUUCUGUUGUCCAGGUCAUUGUUUCCCAACCUAGAUGCUGAGUCCAGUGAGACUAUGAAGAUAUUGUGAGUGUUCUUGGAGAUCAGAACAUAAGAGAUCCAACAGAGGUAGGUGGGAGUGGACAACUGAAGGCAAUUACAUAAAUGAACCAGAUGCUCU
This 200-nucleotide long non-coding RNA is filed under the name Fukomys damarensis (Damara mole-rat). RNAcentral describes it as "lncRNA (ENSFDAG00000025671.1)". The record is from RNAcentral. Lineage: Eukaryota; Metazoa; Chordata; Mammalia; Rodentia; Bathyergidae.